Molecule: long non-coding RNA, 3481 nt
Filed under: Bemisia tabaci
Lineage: Eukaryota; Metazoa; Arthropoda; Insecta; Hemiptera; Aleyrodidae
Description: lncRNA ENSASIAIIG009538
Source: RNAcentral
AAAGCAAAGUCACAUCGUUGUCUAGUAGACGAAUUCUUGUUUUAGUCAGCAAGGGAGCAUGCUCACAAACACGAAAAAAUAAGAACGAUUCCAGUCAGUCAAUCACUUUUUAAGACUAACCGGUGAAUAUCUGCACAUACGUAAUUUUUUGCUCUUACGGUGCGAUAUGAAUAGAUCUCACGACCGAGGUUAUUAGCUGUGCGCGUACCAAACAAACAGGGAACGAUGCGCUUUUGCGUUUUCAGGGUGAUUUUGCUGGUAUCUGUAAUUGGAUUCUCAAGAGGACAAUGGAGAUAUAGAGAAAUCAACGACUUGUAUGACGCGGGUGAACUGGAACCAGGAGACGUCCUCCGCAGUAACGUCAAGGGGAACUACCAUCUCAUCGGGCACAACAGCUUCAUGUACAAAAUGCCGGCCGCGGUCAACAAAUUCGCCUACGACGUCCGCUGGUACUCCUUCAAGCUCCCUCUACGCAUGGGAGACGACCAUCUCUUGGUCGAGAAAAUUGGCAAAGCCACCGAUGCAGAAAGGAGCAUAGCGCUGGCGAGAAAGCUCUCCGAAAAUUACGUGCCGUACCACGUCAUUCGCUGCACUAAAAAAAUGUACUGGAAAUACAUCCUGUGGGGCGAGGGGCCCUCGGAAAAGUUGGUACCGCUAUUUGUCAUGCGCUCGUGCCCACUAGCGGCACCUUUGGAAGGGGUGACCGCUCAUGACGUCACCACAGGGCGAUUCAAGUUCACGGAUUUCCAGGGUCGGAAUGAGGACGAAUCACAUGCCAUCUCGCCGGUGCCCGCCAGCAGAACUAGGUUUUUUAAAGUGGGUCAUCUUUUGUGGGCACUCGGGCGGGAGGGGCGGGUGAGUCGGGUUCCAUCCGAGUUGAGACGUAAGAAGAGACACUCCAUGUCUGACAAGGAUCGCAAUUAUCCGUCCUCAUCCUUCGCUUCUGCUGUGUCCUUCGACGCGGUGAGUGAAGGGAGUUCGCCAUCGACGACGUCCAGGUCCACGUCAAGUCCCGUCGUGGCGGAGAAGACUCCGAAACCGAAAUUAUCCAAACAGCUCUAUCUAUCACUGUCGAUGAAAAAACUUCAAGAAGAGCUCCAAGAUAAACUCACAAGCAGAUCCAGGGGUGAAAGCAAAAGUCGGGGUGAUAAAAACUCGAAUGGGUCACUAGGCAAGGUCUGAACCAGGAAUAAACGGCGAUUAGACUUUAUUUUCCAGUUAGGAACUGCAAUUUCUGGAUCCUCCGUAAAAGCACUUAUCUGCAUAUGGAAAUUAAUGGCACAUACGUUCUUUCUAAAAUGAGCUGAAAAUUGUAGUUCCUCGUUGCAAAAUGUAGCCAGUUGUUUUCUCUUCAAAAUUUUGCGGGUAAAACGAUUCAUCGGAAAGUUCGGUGAUCACCUUUUGAACAAGAUAAUAACAAAUAUUCUUAUCAGAGAUUACGUGGCAUUAAAAGUUUACAAUCAUUUGUAUUUUCGCCAUGUAAGCAAUGUUAUAAUUGUCAACACUUUUAUCUUACUUAGGGGUUGACUUCCAAACCUCUUGUUGUGUGAUUCGUUUUCCUCAAGCGACUUUGACGAGGAAACAUGCUGCAUGAUCGUGCCGAUUGGAUCACUUUUUGCAAUUAGGAACUGAAAUUUGAGCUCAAUAUUAAUACAAAACAGUACCCCUAUGUAGAUAAGUGUUUUUAUAUAUGAGCCAGAAAUUGUAGUUCCGAACUGCAAAAUGCAGUCCAACUCAUAACUUGUCUUGAGGCCCACUCUGAACAAACUACUACGAGAUAAGUAAAAUGUGUGAUUCCUGUAGGUACAGAUUUAACUCUUGUAUGUAUAUAUGUGUGUAAGUGUGUGUGUGUGGGGGGGGGGGUGUCCACACCAAACAGAGGUAUGUCAGUCCGAGAUGAAACGAAAAUGAAGCCCAUUUAGCGGAUGAGCCUCCGUUUUUUUUGAAUUCCUCAUUUUCAUGCCGUUGUAAUAUACAUUUACUUCACCGACAAAUACAUAUUUUAUCGUUGAUUGAUGUCUUGUUCAAAAUUUAGUUUUGAAAACAAGAAAAAAACGAUUUUACACACGAGGAGAACAGUAAUGAAACAGCAGAAUAGGGCGCAGAAACACACGAUUUCGACGGCAAAUCGUCACUCAUCUGGGCGUAUGAUCGCACAUCUCGAUUUCCGUAUGAGCCCCAGGAAUAAUGAAAUUAUACGCAAAAACCCUGUGUCACACUAUCAAAAUCCUCCAUCAAAAUAUCAAGGUUGGGUGUUGUAAUUGGCUUAUAUGAUGACUUGGGCCAAUCACAGUACUUGACCUUGACAUUUUGAGGAGUAUUUUGAUAGUGUGACACAAGCUAACGGAGUGACGAAAUGUGACGUCGCUGUUACGCUUUUUGAUGAUUAUGCCCGUAUCCAAGCACAAUGACUUCGGGGGAGUUCCUCAGGGCGUUAUGGCAACAAUUAAAGAAGAUAAUGUGCAUUAUUCAUCUGAUUACUCUUCCAAGUGACGGCGACGUACUUUUGCCGAGUCCAGCUUUAAGAACUGAAACCUGAGACGGGGAAAAACUCCCAUCUUCGUUAUCUCGAAGAAAAAGAAGAGCAAAAGGAAGGGAAGAAACACUCCGUUGGCCAGAGCUCUCUAAUUUGAUAGUCUGCGGUGCGUCGCAAUAAGAGGCAGGAACAGAUGCAUGAAGUAGAGUAAAAAUGAAACCAUUCAUUGAAAUCAUUCAGAUCGCUGUAGAUUUAGAUCUACCGACGACAGUGCAAUCAUUGGAGUUUUUUGAUUAGCGUGUAUAAUUAAUCAAUUAAUAUGAUGUCUUUCGAUUCGAUUAAUUUAUUGAGUUUUGAAUCUUCGGCUCACUCUUUAUAUUUAUGGCUACGACAGGACUGUGUGAAUUUUUCUGGUACUGAAUUCUCACACUCCAAUCAUAGAUCUACUCCCCUACAAUCAACAGAAAUACAAACCCACUUACAUGUGAUGAACCCAAUAUUACCACCAAAAUUCUAAAACUCUUCGCCUCUCUUAAUUUAAAAAUCUAAAUUUUCGUUUAUACUCCCAUUUUCGAAAUUAUCUGUAAAGACGUUUAUAGCCUGAGACGCUGAAUGCCUUAAAAUUAUACUAACUAACUAACUGUUUGCGCGAAUGUUCAAUAUUCAACGAGUAUAAGCGCGCGUUACUCUGGAAACCUUUGUAGUUUGUGGUAGAUAACUACAUCGCAAAGGACUGUUCAUUCCCUCCUCACUUAUUACAUGCAUGUCUUUCUUCGAUGGAUAGCCCUCGCAGCGCGAAUGGCCCAGAACUUUCAUAGACAUCUGAAAAGUGAACUAGGGGCAUGUGACCGCUACGCGGCCCCCAAACUCUGAAAAAGACCACACGUAAAAAAUCGUAGAACAACCAUGUUCAAGUUUUUUAAGAGAUGAAUGGAUUCAAACCCGACGGGUGCACCCGUAAGGAAGCGUAUAUUUAUCUCUGAUUGCAACAGUAUGUACCACUUU